AUAACGGUGUCUUUAGACACCCCCUUUUGUCUUAAAAAAUUAUUC
Non-coding RNA from Picea glauca (white spruce), 45 nucleotides. NCBI's taxonomy places the organism in Eukaryota, Viridiplantae, Streptophyta, Pinopsida, Pinales, Pinaceae. The record is from Rfam.